Molecule: long non-coding RNA, 611 nt
Filed under: Calidris pygmaea (Spoon-billed sandpiper)
Lineage: Eukaryota; Metazoa; Chordata; Aves; Charadriiformes; Scolopacidae
Description: lncRNA (ENSCPGG00000001468.1)
Source: RNAcentral
CAAGCCAACGCUGGUAUGAAGGGCGGAAACUCUUCUUUCCAUUCCUCUGUCAUUUGCGGCUGCUCCCAUCUGCUCAGGGGCAUUGCCUGCUCAGUCCUUGCUGCAGAGGGAUCUCUGCCCUGGUCCUUCCCAUUUUCUUGAGCAAGUGGCUUUCCAACCGAAGCUUCGUGUGGGAGGCUUCAUGUUGGCAUCCAGGGUACAUGUCCCAAAUAUGUCCAGCCCCACCUUCUGAUCCUAGUGCAGAGGAGCUGCGGACAGAUGACAGUAGCUAUCCUCCUUCAAUACUGAGGAAAAGGCCACCUGUGGACCAAGCUGUGGGGGAAAAGAGGAAAGCAGAGAGAAGGGUUCGAUUUCGUGAGCCAGAAGAAGUCAUUGAACAUGCCAUUUCCUGCUGUGACUACAUGGUGGUAGAUGACAGGUCAUCAUCUGGAUUGCCCGUGCUCUUGGGGCUCUCAUUUUGUGCAGUGCUGAUCCUUGCUGUGAGUCUCUACUACACCAGCAUGAAGCAAGAUGUCAAAGUCCUGGAGGAAUUUCAAUCUCGACUUGUUAUCUUCUUUCUUCAGAUAAGGCACGUUGCUCAGAAAUGCUGGACUUGGUUUAUGAGGCAGUAG